RNAcentral lists this ribosomal RNA (566 nucleotides) under uncultured bacterium. RNAcentral's name for it is "partial 16S ribosomal RNA". It matches the Rfam family "Bacterial small subunit ribosomal RNA", at positions 355 to 914 of the family's 1533-position model. The record is from RNAcentral.
UGGGGAAUUUUGGACAAUGGGCGAAAGCCUGAUCCAGCAAUGCCGCGUGUGUGAAGAAGGCCUUCGGGUUGUAAAGCACUUUUGUCCGGAAAGAAAUCCUUGGCUCUAAUACAGUCGGGGGAUGACGGUACCGGAAGAAUAAGCACCGGCUAACUACGUGCCAGCAGCCGCGGUAAUACGUAGGGUGCAAGCGUUAAUCGGAAUUACUGGGCGUAAAGCGUGAGCAGGCGGUUUGCUAAGACCGAUGUGAAAUCCCCGGGCUCAACCUGGGAACUGCAUUGGUGACUGGCAGGCUAGAGUAUGGCAGAGGGGGGUAGAAUUCCACGUGUAGCAGUGAAAUGCGUAGAGAUGUGGAGGAAUACCGAUGGCGAAGGCAGCCCCCUGGGCCAAAUACUGACGCUCAUGCACGAAAGCGUGGGGAGCAAACAGGAUUAGAUACCCUAUAGUCCACGCCUAAGCGAUGCUACAACUAGUUGUUGGGAUUGCAUUUCCUUAGUAACGUAGCUAACGCGUGAAGUUGACCGCCUGGGGAGUACGGUCGCAAGAUUAAAACUCAAAGAAUUGAC